This 509-nucleotide long non-coding RNA is filed under the name Sorghum bicolor (sorghum). RNAcentral describes it as "long non-coding RNA (SBIC_LNC018272)". The record is from RNAcentral. Lineage: Eukaryota; Viridiplantae; Streptophyta; Magnoliopsida; Poales; Poaceae.
GCGAAUAAUGAAUCGUUGUGAAUAUAUAGAACUAACGUCCAACGAUUUGAUUUGUCCCAUCAGUGAAUAAUUUCAUUUAUGAUGACGAAACGAAAAAAAAAAGGAAUCGAUCAGAUGGGGAGAAUUCAGCAAUUACGUCAAAGGAUGGGCGUGGGUGUGGGAAAAAGGAGAUUUCUUUUGAGGAGGCUUUAGCUAUCGCAGGAAAGAGGCGUCGACACGUCUCCUACGCAAACCAAACCGCCUUACAUCGGCGGCCACCACCGUUCCAUCCGCAUUUUUCUUCCUCCCAUCUCCCUCUCUCUCUCGAUCGCCCUGUGUCAAGAAAAAAAGAGAUACAGGAUAUUAUAUAUUUAUAUAUAUAUAUAUAUGUAUACAUAAAUAAUAAUUUUCGCUUUCGCUGCUGCGAUAUAUACUUUGAGACGAGACGAGACGACGACACCGCCGAGAAUUCUUGGAUUUCCAGAAGCCCCGAAUCGGCGAAUCAUCCAUCCAUCCAUCCCCUCCUCUCU